AUUGAACGCUGGCGGAAUGCUUUACACAUGCAAGUCGAACGGCAGCACGGGGGCAACCCUGGUGGCGAGUGGCGAACGGGUGAGUAAUACAUCGGAACGUGCCCAGUCGUGGGGGAUAACUACGCGAAAGCGUAGCUAAUACCGCAUACGAACUCUGGUUGAAAGCGGGGGACCGCAAGGCCUCGCGCGAUUGGAGCGGCCGAUGGCAGAUUAGGUAGUUGGUGGGGUAAAGGCUCACGAAGCCGACGAUCUGUAGCUGGUCUAAGAGGACGACAAGCCAAACUGGAGCUGAGACACGGCCAAGACUCCUACGGGAGGCAGCAGUGGGGAAUUUUGGGCAAGGGGGGCAAGCCUGAUCCAGCCAUUCCGCGUGAAGGAUGAAGGCCCUCGGGUUGUAAACUGCUUUUGUACGGAACGAAAGGCCCUGGGUUAAUACCCUGGGGUCAUGACGGUACCGUAAGAAUAAGCACCGGCUAACUACGUGCCAGCAGCCGCCGUAA
This 500-nucleotide ribosomal RNA is filed under the name uncultured bacterium. RNAcentral describes it as "partial 16S ribosomal RNA". It matches the Rfam family "Bacterial small subunit ribosomal RNA", at positions 29 to 523 of the family's 1533-position model. The record is from RNAcentral.